GAUACCGGUAGUCAUUCUGUAAAUCAAUGAUUACUAGUAACUGAGUGGGGAGGGGGUGCCUAGUCACUGCCUACAUGAAAGGCGCCUUAAGUUUUUGUUUUAAAGUUAGAAUAUUAUUGACACUAUAACUAAGACCAAUUAUCAAUGGAGUAGAUCUUUGAUAUUUUAAUGAGGUCUAAACCUUUUUAUUUUUGUUUCAGGAUGAUGUUUUUCUUCAGUAAAAUAAAUGAAGGCAAAUUCCCUGAUAACUGAGACAAAUUCAGAGAGAGGAAGGAGAACUACUGAGCUGCUGAAUUUCUGACAGACAUACUUGCAAGGACUAUGAAGUUCUACUUAGCAUCUUCAAUGAACCAGACUCCAUCUGCUGUAACUGUGACUGCAUGGGGAUCAAAACCUGUGUAUUAUAAUCCUCAUAACAUGAAGCUAUGGUAACAAACAAGCAACCAUUGAUAAAAAGCCUGAUAUGUCCUUGUGUGUGUGAACCACAAAGCAACCAUCACUCAUAAGGAUGUUUUUAUGUACAUCAGAUGUUCAUUGUUUCACUGGAAAAAUUGUGAUUUUGAAUCAUUUAAGAAAUCAUGUUUUAUAAUGCGUUUUAUAAUAUAGUGCAAGUCAUGAUAUAACAGAUUCCCUGCAAAAGAAACACGGCUCAAAAGUAGACUAAGCUUUGUUUU
Molecule: long non-coding RNA, 674 nt
Organism: Strongylocentrotus purpuratus (purple sea urchin)
Lineage: Eukaryota; Metazoa; Echinodermata; Echinoidea; Camarodonta; Strongylocentrotidae
Exons: 2
Source: RefSeq, a predicted model, not a curated record